CCUACGGGUGGCAGCAGUGAGGAAUAUUGGUCAAUUGGCGCGAGCCUGAACCAGCCAAGUAGCGUGAAGGAUGACUGCCCUACGGGUUGUAAACUUCUUUUAUAAAGGAAUAAAGUGAGGCAAGUGUGCCUUUUUGUAUUGACUUUAUGAAUAAGGAUAGGCUAACUUCGUGCCAGCAGCCGCGGUAAUACGGAGGAUCCGAGCGUUAACCGGAUUUAUUGGUUUUAAUGGGAGCGUAGAUGGGUUGUUAAGUCAGUUGUGAAAUUUUGCGGCUCAACCGUAAAAUUGCAAUUGAUACUGGUAGUCUUGAGUACAGUUGAGGUAGGCGAAAUUCGUGGUGUAGCGGUGAAAUGCUUAGAUAUUACGAAGAACUCAGAUUGCGAAGGCAGCUUACUAAACUGCAACUGACAUUGAUGCUCGAAAGUGUGGGUAUCAAACAGGAUUAGAUACCCGGUAGUC
This 459-nucleotide ribosomal RNA is filed under the name uncultured bacterium. RNAcentral's name for it is "partial 16S ribosomal RNA". It matches the Rfam family "Bacterial small subunit ribosomal RNA", at positions 338 to 795 of the family's 1533-position model. The record is from RNAcentral.